CCUACGGGAGGCUGCAGUGAGGAAUAUUGGACAAUGGGCGAGAGCCUGAACCAGCCACGUCGCGUGAGGGAAGACGGACCUAUGGAUUGUAAACCUCUUUUGUCGGGGAGCAAAAAGGCCUCGUGAGGCCACAAGUGAGAGUACCCGAAGAAACAGCAUCGGCUAACUCCGUUCCAGCAGCCGCGGUAAUACGGUGGAUGCGAGCGUUAUCCGGAUUUAUUGGGUUUAAAGGGGGCGUAGGCGGACUGGAAAGUCAGCGGGAAAAUCGGGUGGCUCAACCUCGUUCCGCCGUUGAAACUGUCGGUCUUGAGUGGGCGAGAAGUAGGCGGAAUGCGUGGUGUAGCGGUGAAAUGCAUAGAUAUCAGGCAGAACGCCGAUUGCGAAGGCAGCAUACCGGAGCCCGACUGACGCUGAGGCACGAAAGCGUGGGGAGCGAACAGGAUUAGAUACCCUAGUAGUC
This 460-nucleotide ribosomal RNA is filed under the name uncultured bacterium. Its description in RNAcentral is "partial 16S ribosomal RNA". It matches the Rfam family "Bacterial small subunit ribosomal RNA", at positions 338 to 795 of the family's 1533-position model. The record is from RNAcentral.